UGGGGAAUAUUGCACAAUGGUCGAAAGCCUGAUGCAGCGACGCCGCGUGAGGGAUGACUGCCUUCGGGUUGUAAACCUCUUUCAGCAGGGACGAAGCGCAAGUGACGGUACCUGCAGAAGAAGCAACGGCUAACUACGUGCCAGCAGCCGCGGUAAUACGUAGGGUGCAAGCGUUGUCCGGAAUUACUGGGCGUAAAGAGUUCGUAGGCGGUUUGUCGCGUCGUUUGUGAAAACCAGCAGCUCAACUGCUGGCUUGCAGGCGAUACGGGCAUACUCGAGUACUGCACGGGAGACGGGAAUUCCUGGUGCAGCGGUGAAAUGCGCAGAUAUCAGGAGGAGCGCCGGUGACGAGGGCGAGUCUCUUGGCAGUACCUGACGCUGAGGAACGAAAGCGUGGGUAGCGAACAGG
RNAcentral lists this ribosomal RNA (409 nucleotides) under bacterium. Its description in RNAcentral is "partial 16S ribosomal RNA". It matches the Rfam family "Bacterial small subunit ribosomal RNA", at positions 355 to 776 of the family's 1533-position model. The record is from RNAcentral.